UUGCAAAUGGUGUUACCCUGUCAGAUCAUUAAACGAAAUCAUACCAGCAAUUAUAUUAUAAGGGAGAAAAUUCUCUUCUUAGACCUGCCCUCCUAUAUCCAAUGAUAACUGAUAAAAGAACAGGUGGCAUCACAAAAAUGUCAGCAUGGAAAACACCGUGCCAAGAAUAUAAUGGACAAUCUAUUGACAUAAAGCAUACAGUAAAACAACUAAAAACAUUACUGGAAAAUUUAAAAAGGAAAACUUGUACAGAUGCAGAUGCAGAAAAACUGAAUUGUAUGAAAACAGGUAGCAGAUCAUGUACAGUUUUU
Molecule: long non-coding RNA, 311 nt
Filed under: Androctonus crassicauda
Lineage: Eukaryota; Metazoa; Arthropoda; Arachnida; Scorpiones; Buthidae
Source: RNAcentral